RNAcentral lists this ribosomal RNA (439 nucleotides) under uncultured bacterium. RNAcentral's name for it is "bacterial SSU rRNA". It matches the Rfam family "Bacterial small subunit ribosomal RNA", at positions 54 to 473 of the family's 1533-position model. The record is from RNAcentral.
CAUGCAAGUCGUACGAGAAAUCCUGGGCAACUGGGAAAGUAAAGUGGCGCACGGGUGAGUAACGCGUGGGUAACCUACCCUUGGAUUCGGGAUAACUCCGCGAAAGCGGGGUUAAUACCGGAUGAUAUUCCGAUUCCUAAGGGGGUCGGAAUCAAAGGUGGCCUCUGCAUGCAAGCUAUCGUCUAAGGAUGGGCCCGCGUACCAUUAGCUAGUUGGUAGGGUAAUGGCCUACCAAGGCAACGAUGGUUAGCUGGUCUUAGAGGAUGGCCAGCCACACUGGAACUGAGAUACGGUCCAGACUCCUACGGGAGGCAGCAGUGGGGAAUCUUGCGCAAUGGGGGAAACCUUGACGCAGCAACGCCGCGUGGGUGAUGAAGGCCUUCGGGUCGUAAAGCCCUGUCAGGUGGGAAGAAACAUGUCGGUGCUAAUAUCACCGAUG